CAAUGGCAAGUCGAGCGGUAGCACAGAGAGCUUGCUCUCGGGUGACGAGCGGCGGACGGGUGAGUAAUGUCUGGGAAACUGCCUGAUGGAGGGGGAUAACUACUGGAAACGGUAGCUAAUACCGCAUAACGUCGCAAGACCAAAGUGGGGGACCUUCGGGCCUCAUGCCAUCAGAUGUGCCCAGAUGGGAUUAGCUAGUAGGUGGGGUAACGGCUCACCUAGGCGACGAUCCCUAGCUGGUCUGAGAGGAUGACCAGCCACACUGGAACUGAGACACGGUCCAGACUCCUACGGGAGGCAGCAGUGGGGAAUAUUGCACAAUGGGCGCAAGCCUGAUGCAGCCAUGCCGCGUGUGUGAAGAAGGCCUUCGGGUUGUAAAGCACUUUCAGCGGGGAGGAAGGCGUUAAGGUUAAUAACCUUGGCGAUUGACGUUACCCGCAGAAGAAGCACCGGCUAACUCCGUGCCAGCAGCCGCGGUAAUACGGAGGGUGCAAGCGUUAAUCGGAAUUACUGGGCGUAAAGCGCACGCAGGCGGUCUGUCAAGUCGGAUGUGAAAUCCCCGGGCUCAACCUGGGAACUGCAUUCGAAACUGGCAGGCUAGAGUCUUGUAGAGGGGGGUAGAAUUCCAGGUGUAGCGGUGAAAUGCGUAGAGAUCUGGAGGAAUACCGGUGGCGAAGGCGGCCCCCUGGACAAAGACUGACGCUCAGGUGCGAAAGCGUGGGGAGCAAACAGGAUUAGAUACCCUGGUAGUCCACGCCGUAAACGAUGUCGAUUUGGAGGUUGUGCCCUUGAGGCGUGGCUUCCGGAGCUAACGCGUUAAAUCGACCGCCUGGGGAGUACGGCCGCAAGGUUAAAACUCAAAUGAAUUGACGGGGGCCCGCACAAGCGGUGGAGCAUGUGGUUUAAUUCGAUGCAACGCGAAGAACCUUACCUGGUCUUGACAUCCACAGAA
RNAcentral lists this ribosomal RNA (952 nucleotides) under Klebsiella pneumoniae. RNAcentral's name for it is "bacterial SSU rRNA". It matches the Rfam family "Bacterial small subunit ribosomal RNA", at positions 52 to 995 of the family's 1533-position model. The record is from RNAcentral. Lineage: Bacteria; Pseudomonadati; Pseudomonadota; Gammaproteobacteria; Enterobacterales; Enterobacteriaceae.